UUCUUCUUUCAAGAUCCUGCCCGCCGAUGUGCCCGCCCACCACCCUCACUAUCGAUUGUUUGAAAGCCUCACUUCACUUCCCUCCCCAUUAUCUGGGUGAUCUUUCUUCCUACUCCACUUGUCUAAAUGCCACCCAUCCUCCCAGUCUUAACGUAAAGUUCUCCUUUGAAGGCUAGUGUAUUUGCUGUUUGUACACUGCCUAAUUGGACAAGACUGAAGCAUUUGUGGCAGGAAGCGGGUCCCUUGCUACAUUCUCAGGACCGCCUUUAUGCUUAGAUUCUUUGAAGACGCGAUCCACAUGACCAUAUCCGGAGGCCAGCCUACCCCACCAAAAUGAAGUUAUAUAUAUUUUUUUUAGUUCCUAUUUGAAUGGUUCUGAGAAAUAACUGUGUUGGUCUGGUGGUCCUCACAAGUUCACCUUUGGAUCACUCAAUCAUGUCUGCAAGGAGGACUUAGCAUACCCGGCCAAAUCAAGUGAGAUCUCAAGACUGGAGGGGGAGGGACAGUCAGGAUCAAUGAUCCAGGUAUAGUCAAGGGGGGCAUUUCUGUCAUUUAGAGCCAUUGAAAACACUUUCAAGGCAUCGUUAGAAGUGGCAGCCAAUGUAAUUGUGAGAAGUAAAGUGAGCUGCUAAAAAUGCCUUCAGGUUAAGUCUUUGUAUUAAAGUCGGAGUCAUAUUUAUCCAAGGAAUGCAGAGCCUGGAGGCCAAAUCUACUGACCAGGAUACUUGGCCACAGUGUACUCAGAGGAGCUAAAAGCUCACAGGGACUUGGCUACUUCUUCACAAUCAGGGUAGGCUCAGAAUAUUCAAGUGUGAAGAAGCAUACAAAAGACUGUCCAGCCCCUUGCCCAUCUCUCUGAGAACAUUAGCUGCUGGGUGAUAAAGCUAUAUUAUCUUCUCCCUCACCUUUCCCAAGAAUCUCCUGGCAAAGUUCAAACCUGAUGCUUUGUGUUAACUCAUUUCCAUGACAACAAAUUGGCCCUCUUUCUUGUCGCCUGGCCUUCAUCACAUGACAGGAAAGGGGCAACGAGCCUCGAUGUAUUUCUACAUGAAGAGCAGGAAUGUGUGCUAACAGGAAAAGUGUGUCUCAUUAACUUUUAUCAAGAGCCAGGGAGAACAAAACAAGAACCGGCAGGCUAGGUUGACAUUUUCCUCCUAGAUACCCAAUUACAACUAAUUCUUCCCCAAAGCAUGGAAGCAAGCAUAAUGUAUUCUAAAACAUAAUUAAUCAUAGGCAAAACUUCUUAGGGAUUAAAAUGAUUCUUAUGGAA
This 1270-nucleotide small RNA is filed under the name Rattus norvegicus (Norway rat). RNAcentral's name for it is "ribosomal protein L36A, pseudogene 18 (Rpl36a-ps18)". The record is from RNAcentral. Lineage: Eukaryota; Metazoa; Chordata; Mammalia; Rodentia; Muridae.